AACGCAACUUGCGCCUGUUUACAGGCGUGUCUGUUUGAGUACGGCAUACUCAAUGCAUUAAUGCGAUUUGGUCAUAGAGCUGUGUCAGUUCUCUGGCUGGAAUGAAGUCAGUAAGGGGAUUAAAGGGUCUCUUGAUGUGUUAGAGACGCAAGUCUUGACAUCAAUUAGCUACUUGGUCCUAUUAAAUACUUUGGUUUCGUCUCAAAUCAGACAAGAUUACCCGCUGAACUUAA
RNAcentral lists this unclassified non-coding RNA (233 nucleotides) under Dothideomycetes sp. Its description in RNAcentral is "partial contains 5.8S ribosomal RNA, internal transcribed spacer 2, and large subunit ribosomal RNA". Lineage: Eukaryota; Fungi; Ascomycota; Dothideomycetes. The record is from RNAcentral.